UAGUCAUAUGCUUGUCUCAAAGAUUAAGCCAUGCAUGUCUAAGCACAAGCCGAUUAAUGGUGAAGCCGCGAAUGGCUCAUUACAACAGCCAUAGUUUCUUAGAUCUUACUUUUCUACUUGGAUAACUGUGGUAAUUCUAGAGCUAAUACACGCAAACAAGCUCAGACCUUACGGAAUGAGCGCAUUUAUUAGAACAAAAACCAAUCGGGCUUCGGUCCGUCAUUUGGUGAAUCUGAAUAACUUUGCUGAUCGCACGGUCUUCGUACCGGCGACAUAUCUUUCAAAUGUCUGCCUUAUCAACUUUCGAUGGUAGUUUAUGCGCCUACCAUGGUUGUAACGGGUAACGGAGAAUAAGGGUUCGACUCUGGAGAGGGAGCCUGAGAAACGGCUACCACAUCCAAGGAAGGCAGCAGGCACGCAAAUUACCCACUCCCGGCACGGGGAGGUAGUGACGAAAAAUAACGAGACGGCUCGCUAUGCGGUCCGUCAUCGGAAUGGGUACAAUUUAAAUCCUUUAACGAGGAUCUAUU
This 530-nucleotide ribosomal RNA is filed under the name uncultured eukaryote. RNAcentral describes it as "SSU rRNA". It matches the Rfam family "Eukaryotic small subunit ribosomal RNA", at positions 21 to 549 of the family's 1831-position model. The record is from RNAcentral.